This 269-nucleotide ribosomal RNA is filed under the name uncultured prokaryote. Its description in RNAcentral is "partial 16S ribosomal RNA". It matches the Rfam family "Bacterial small subunit ribosomal RNA", at positions 524 to 792 of the family's 1533-position model. The record is from RNAcentral.
UACGUAUGGGGCAAGCGUUAUCCGGAUUUACUGGGUGUAAAGGGAGCGUAGGCGGCAGUACAAGUCGGGAGUGAAAACUUGGGGCUCAACCCCAAGACUGCUCUCGAAACUGUGCAGCUAGAGUGCAGGAGGGGCAGGCGGAAUUCCUGGUGUAGCGGUGAAAUGCGUAGAUAUCAGGAGGAACACCGGUGGCGAAGGCGGCCUGCUGGACUGUAACUGACGCUAAGGCUCGAAAGCGUGGGGAGCGAACAGGAUUAGAUACCCUGGUA